UGACAUAUCAGUAAGAAAAAGAUAACCCACAGAAAAAUGGACAGAUGACUGGAAUAGUGACUUCACACACAAAAGGAAAUCCAAAUGGCCAAUCAGUUCUCAGAUUCACUGGAAUUAAGGAAAUACAAAAUAAACUACAAUGAGAGACACCUCCUACACCCCCCUGGCUUGGCAAAAAUUGAAGUCCGACAAUAACAAGUGUUGGCAUGGGUGCAAAGAACAACGGAUACUCAUGCAUUGCUGGUGGGAUUGUAAAGACACUAGUUUGGAAAAUAGUUUUGCGUUAAUUAGUAAAGCUGAAGAGAUGCACUCCCCCUGACAUCCCCCUAAAAUCUCUUCCAAUAACUUUAAUAAGUGGCUCCCAAAGUAUGGUCCCUAUUCUCAGCUGGUAGCAUCAGCAUCACCUGGGAACUUCUUAGAAAUAUGAACUCUCAAAUGUAACCCCAGUUCCACUGAAUCAGACACCUGAGGGUGGAGCCUUGUCAUUUGUGAACCAUCUGGGUGAUGGUCAUGAGCUUUCAAGUAGAAGAAGCACCACCUGAGAGAAAUUUGUGAGCAUGGGUACAGGAUCCAUGAUAAAAAUGUUCACAGUAGCAACCACGUAUCCAUCAACAGGAACACAGUCCCUUCUAUUUAUACAAUGGAAUAGUACACUAAAAUACAUGCAUUAAAAAUGAAUGCAUUCCAUGGAUAAAACUUAUGGUCAGUCAUUAUGCUGAAGAAAAGAAGCAAGACACAAAUGAAAAAAAAAACCCUGAAGAGAAGAACGGAAUUGAUUACCAUAAAAUCCAGGAAAAUGCUUAUCAGUAUUGGAGAAGGAAGGAAGUAUGAUCAAGAAGGAGCUUGCAGUGGAGCGGAGUUUAUGAGGGGCUGACAAUAUUCCCUGUUUUGACCUGGGGAAAGAGAGUUGGGGACAGACUCGAAGAUGACUAUCAGCCAGAGUCAUUAUCCCUUCUUCUCCCUAAAUGUGUAGAGGAGUCGAAAAGCAACCAGGCUUCUCAGUAAGCGAGGUUGAUAUCACCCACUGAUCCAAGGUUCUGCUCCCACUUUUGACUUUGUUGUUUAUUUGCAAACUUCUUUAGUGAUUGCUGUUAGACUGGAUUCAUGCACAGUUAGAAGGAAAGAAAUAACACAUUAGUUCUUCCAAAUAUAAUAGUGAUGGUACAGAUGCUGGUUGGAUCAUACUUGAAUUGUCUGAGUUUAAAGCAGAAGGUACUUCUCAAACAAUUUUAAAGUCAGGUCCUUAUUUUUCUUUUGUUUCAAUUAAGACAGGUGUACCUUGGCCACAGGUCUAUGGUGAUUGAAUUGAUAGCUAUUUAUCCUACAUGGAUAAUAUCAUUCUUUUGUCAAUAGUAAUGAUCAUGUGAGUAUGAACACAUAAAAAAUAUAGCUACAUAUUAUGAUACAACAUACCAAGCACAGUGUUUGUACAGAGUAGGUGCUCGGUGAACACUCAACUGAUAUAAGCAGAUCUGUCAUAUAAAAAUAUGUCUAAAAUACAAGUAUUAUUAUAAAUUGUUAUAUAAUUUAGCUGUCUAAUUUUUCUGGUGUGUGUAUUUACUUUAUUAUUAUGUGAAUAUGUGUAUAUGGCAUAAAAUUAGCCAUUUUUGGUGUGCA
This is a long non-coding RNA of Neofelis nebulosa (Clouded leopard), 1617 nucleotides long. RefSeq lists it as uncharacterized. NCBI's taxonomy places the organism in Eukaryota, Metazoa, Chordata, Mammalia, Carnivora, Felidae. The record is from RefSeq and is a predicted model, not a curated record. The transcript has 2 exons.